This 127-nucleotide small RNA is filed under the name Marmota monax (woodchuck). Lineage: Eukaryota; Metazoa; Chordata; Mammalia; Rodentia; Sciuridae. The record is from RNAcentral.
GCCAGGCGUGGUGGCGCACACCUAUAAUCCUAGUGACCCAGGAGGCUGAGGCAGGAGGAUUGCAGCUUCGAGGCCAGCCUCAGCAACUUAGCAAGGUCCUAAGCAACUUAGCUAGACCCUGCCUCUA